AUUGAACGCUGGCGGCAGGCUUAACACAUGCAAGUCGAGCGGGGUGAUGGUGCUUGCACUAUCACUUAGCGGCGGACGGGUGAGUAAUGCUUAGGAAUCUGCCUAUUAGUGGGGGACAACAUCUCGAAAGGGAUGCUAAUACCGCAUACGUCCUACGGGAGAAAGCAGGGGAUCACUUGUGACCUUGCGCUAAUAGAUGAGCCUAAGUCGGAUUAGCUAGUUGGUGGGGUAAAGGCCUACCAAGGCGACGAUCUGUAGCGGGUCUGAGAGGAGGAUCCGCCACACUGGGACUGAGACACGGCCCAGAAUCCGACGGGAGGCGGCAGUGGGGAAUAUUGGACAAUGGGGGGAAACCUGAUCCAGCCAUGCCGCGUGUGUGAAGAAGGCCUUAUGGUUGUAAAGCACUUUAAGCGAGGAGGGGGCUCUUUUGGUUAAUACCCAAGAUGAGUGGACGUUACUCGCAGAAUAAGCACCGGCUAACUCUGUGCCAGCCGCCGCCGUAA
Molecule: ribosomal RNA, 503 nt
Filed under: uncultured bacterium
Lineage: Bacteria
Description: partial 16S ribosomal RNA
Rfam family: Bacterial small subunit ribosomal RNA
Source: RNAcentral